This 1891-nucleotide long non-coding RNA is filed under the name Homo sapiens (human). RNAcentral describes it as "HSALNT0299352". The record is from RNAcentral. Lineage: Eukaryota; Metazoa; Chordata; Mammalia; Primates; Hominidae.
ACAAACAAACAAACAAAAAUAUGGGAUUAACAAAUAACCAAGACCCUGGGAAAAAGAACAUCAAUAGGUUACACAACACGAUUAGAGGCAAUGGAAAAAAAAUUACAGAAUUUUUGAGUUGGAAGUGACUUCCCAGAUCAUGGUGCCUAACCUCAUGUACCUGAAGAGGACGGAGAGGGUCAGAGAAGUUAAGGUACCCGUCACUGGAAAAGAAAUGUAUCUAUUGACUUCCUCAUUCUACAGCUCCUCACCUCCUGCCUGCCUAAGCUCCAGUUGCAAGGAAGGGAGAUAGAGUGAGAAGAAUAAAAAUAAAGAAGUUGCUCAUCUCUUCAUUUUGCAUGUAAGUGAUGAUUGCCUUUCUUCUCUUAGCAAAUUGGCUAGUAUGGUCUAUGUUCAACAAGUAUUCCAUUUGCUACCUUCUCCCAGACACUAUUCGAAAUAUACACAUACAGUGAUCUUACAAUUAGCCCAUUCUCAUACAGGAAGAAAAUGCAAUCUUCAUGAAAAUCCCCUAACUCCACUUCAGACACUGAAGUUCACCUUUUUGAAGUGUACUGAGCCUGACAGCUAGGCCAGAAUCUUAGGAAAGUACCUCCAUUAGAAGGUUAACCUAGAGAAAGAAAAAGAAGUGCCAGGCUUUGCAGAAGAACAGGGGAACUGUGGCAUUGUGAAGGAUGUGGCUGAGUUCAGAGGGUCAUGAAGGAAUGGGAAAUGCUUUGGAAGAACUUGAGGAUGAGAUCUCCUGAUAAGGUGUGAUUGAAUUUUUUAAAGGAGGACCUUGAAGUUUGCACAGCAUGGUGACGGUGACACCAAAUGAAAAGAGGACUGAGAACAGACUGUAAGCGCCCAGCAUAAUGAGCAUUAACACUUACUGUGAUGGGGAGACUGUUUCCAUGAAUGCCAACUGAGAUCUAGAAGACUGUGUUAGGUUUUUAACAGCCAUAUCCUACAAUGGGAUUAUAUUUGAGUUUGUAACCACCUAAAAUCCUCAGACCUUCUUUUUUUUUCCCAUGAAAAUGAGUGAGUCUCUUGUCUUUUAUCUGUAUGAUAACAUUUUAAAUUUAAAUAUAGGGUUUUAUGUUUAUUCCUGUUAUAUUUAAUCUCUUUGGUUUUGAUCCAGCAAUUCAGCCUGCCAAAAAUUCAGAUUGCUAAAUAAGGGAUACCAAUCAGAUGUUUUCUAUCUUCCCUGGAGAAACUAAGGAACUUCAAGUUUAAAAUGCCUCAUGAAGAAUUGGGAUAAAAUAUAAAGAAUUUCCUGAAGAAAGGGAGGAAGAUGAUUGUGUACUGAAUGAUUGCAAUAGAACAUCUGAAAAUGUAAAAUGAAAAGGAUAACUGAACUUUUCUAUGAAGAGCUUGAUUAUGGCCAUACAUUGAAUUAAUGAGCAUUCAGUGAGUCCACAGUUCUUUGUUGAGGGUCUCCUGCAUGCCAUACACUGUGCUACGUCCUGGGGCUCCAUAAAUUCUUUGUUAACAAAAUAAAAAUACCCCCAUACAGAGAAGCACUUUCAGAUACAUUACCUCAUCUCUAACAGAACACACAGUCAACAGAACCAUGCGGAGGCUGAUCAAUAUUCUAAACAAUAGUUUCAUAAAUACUGUCCCUAGACUCGUCUACUCACUGGGAGCUGCAGGGGUUGGUAUUCUAGCUAGCAAAUGAAACAAUCUGCAUACAUGCUUAAAUCAAGUUUGUUUAAAAUUAGAAAAUGGCAUAAUGUAUUCAAAAGUUUUUAUGCAGUAUUUGCAUGGAAUUUAAAAUAUGCUACAUGCUUUGAAUUAGGAGAGCAGAGCGAUGUGUAGCUCAUCUAUUGGUCUGAUCGAAUGUUUAAAAAUCAAAUUUUAGAGAGCUCUGUACUUAAAUAACUGUAAAAGAAAAUAAAAUCAGAAUGCAUAA